This 366-nucleotide long non-coding RNA is filed under the name Triticum aestivum (bread wheat). Its description in RNAcentral is "long non-coding RNA (TAES_LNC017583)". The record is from RNAcentral. Lineage: Eukaryota; Viridiplantae; Streptophyta; Magnoliopsida; Poales; Poaceae.
CACCGUUCGUAUGUUGUGCGCUGCUGUUAUUUUUGGUUCUUGUGUCAUUAUUCCAGGAUUGCCGCAGUUUACCCCCCACUUUCCCUUUGGCCUCUUGGGUGUGUUACGUUAGUCUCACCAUUACCUACCGGCUUGUAGCUCCAUGUAGUAGAAGAGAGAGACCAGAUGUCCUCGGUCAUUAUUGGUAUGUGUCUGGCAAAUUUUCCUCGUCCCAUGAUGACGACGAUAAUGUUUGAACCCUUGAACGAUGAUAUCAUGACGAUUGUUGCAUCAUCUCUCCUGUGCCAAGUAUUUAUUCUUGAUUCAGCUAAUCUGUGUGCACCUGUGACUUGCUGCUCGAUCUGCAUAAGAUCAGAUAGAUGGAAG